This is a non-coding RNA of Pelodiscus sinensis (Chinese soft-shelled turtle), 399 nucleotides long. The record is from the annotation of a RefSeq genome assembly. NCBI's taxonomy places the organism in Eukaryota, Metazoa, Chordata, Testudines, Trionychidae.
AUGUUACUGCUGCAGGUUCUUAUUGUGGCUUCAGUCUGGUCAUAUGGAGCUGCACAAGUACAACUGACACAAACUCAGAUAUCCAUCACAAAGAUACCAAAGAAAACCGUAAGAAUGGACUGUAAAAUUUCUGGUAUUGACGUUGGCAGUGCCUAUAUACACUGGUACCGACAGAGACCUGGAGAAGCUCCAGAGUGGCUGUUGUAUUAUAAGACACAAAACGAUCAAUCCAAUUUUGACAAGGACAAGUUUAGCAUUGACAAGACAUCUGGAAAACCCAUCUGUACCCUAACAGUAGACAAACUAACCUACAAUGACACUGCUACUUAUUACUGUGCCACCUGGGAUCACAGUGUUAGAAAGCCAUACACAGUUUGUACAAAAACUUCUCUAUUCUGA